AGCAUAUAAUUAAGCGGAGGAAAAGAAACUAACCAGGAUUCCCCUAGUAAGGGCGACUGAAGCGGGAAGUGCUCAGGAUGUGAAUCUGCGCUUAUGCGCCGAAUUGUGGUCUGUAGACAGUGACGUUAUUGGCCGGGCCAAGUCCCUUGGAAAAGGGCAGCAGAGAGGGUGAGACUCCCGUCCGCCUGGCUGAAUGAGUCGCUAGUCAACGAGUCGAGUUGUUUGGGAUUGCAGCUCUAAGUGGGUGGUAAAUUCCAUCUAAAGCUAAAUAUUGGUGGGAGACCGAUAGCGUACAAGUACCGUGAGGGAAAGAUGCAAAGAACUUUGAAAAGAGAGUUAAAGAGUACCUGAAAUUGCUGAAAGGGAAGCGAAGGAAACCAGUGUUGAAUGUGUCAUACUUCCUGAUCCGCUUGCGGAUUGGGCGCUGUGUCAUGUUUUGGGUUGUCCUUGGUUGGUCGCAAUGGAAGAGCGCUGAAGGAGUUGACUUUAGUUGCUAGCAUUGCUUCUGACUGAGGAGGACGAAAUGGUUUUCUUUACCCCGUCUUG
RNAcentral lists this ribosomal RNA (546 nucleotides) under Cylindrotheca closterium. RNAcentral's name for it is "partial large subunit ribosomal RNA". It matches the Rfam family "Eukaryotic large subunit ribosomal RNA", at positions 37 to 656 of the family's 3401-position model. Lineage: Eukaryota; Bacillariophyta; Bacillariophyceae; Bacillariales; Bacillariaceae. The record is from RNAcentral.